This 71-nucleotide small RNA is filed under the name Candidatus Sulfotelmatobacter kueseliae. Its description in RNAcentral is "Acido-Lenti-1". It matches the Rfam family "Acido-Lenti-1 RNA". Lineage: Bacteria; Pseudomonadati; Acidobacteriota; Terriglobia; Terriglobales; Candidatus Korobacteraceae. The record is from RNAcentral.
CCCACGGCUUACGCCCCUUCGACUUCGCUCAGGGCAGGCUGUGGGCUGCAUUCUUACGCCGCUUCGCGGCU